This is a long non-coding RNA of Sinocyclocheilus anshuiensis, 103 nucleotides long. RefSeq lists it as uncharacterized. The record is from RefSeq and is a predicted model, not a curated record. NCBI's taxonomy places the organism in Eukaryota, Metazoa, Chordata, Actinopteri, Cypriniformes, Cyprinidae. The transcript is spliced from 2 exons.
UGUGAACAAGACAGGCCAUUGAGAGCAUGCUGCUGGAGGAACAAUAUUAUUUUGCCAGUAAAAAAGCACCAAAGGUGGCAUGAACCAAUGAGAAGACUAAAGU